AGAACGAACGCUGGCGGCAUGCCUAAUACAUGCAAGUCGAACGAACACUUCGGUGUUAGUGGCGCACGGGUGCGUAACGCGUGGGAAUCUGCCCUUGGGUUCGGAAUAACAGUUGGAAACGACUGCUAAUACCGGAUGAUAUCGAAAGAUCAAAGAUUUAUCGCCCAGGGAUGAGCCCGCGUAGGAUUAGCUAGUGGUGAGGUAAGGCUCACCAAGGCGACGAUCCUUAGCUGGUACUGAGAGGAUGAUCAGCCACACGUGGGGACUCGAGACCACGGCCCAGACGUCCUACGGGAGGCAGCAGGUAGGGAAUACGUUGGACAAU
Molecule: ribosomal RNA, 325 nt
Filed under: uncultured soil bacterium
Lineage: Bacteria
Description: bacterial SSU rRNA
Rfam family: Bacterial small subunit ribosomal RNA
Source: RNAcentral